Molecule: long non-coding RNA, 815 nt
Organism: Lynx canadensis (Canada lynx)
Lineage: Eukaryota; Metazoa; Chordata; Mammalia; Carnivora; Felidae
Exons: 3
Source: RefSeq, a predicted model, not a curated record
ACUUUUCAGAGUUACCAGUGGCUUAAUUUCUCAAGCUUUUCUGCAGUUAUAUGCUUGAUUCUGUUUGCAUCCUGGCUUCUCCCAACACAAGGUUACAUUUUUACUGGUGGAUGUAUCAUCCUGUCCUUUGGAGAUCCUCUCAUUAUAAUGUGACUGCUGUUUUUGGAGGGAGACUAUUCAACUUAAAGUCCCAAGCAAAGCAUCCUGUCGACUGAGUCCACAUCUGUCUCUGCUGACAGAUCUGUGAUCUGUCCCUGUCCCCUGGGACCAUCUUCCUUCCUCAGAAGAGAUGCAUCCUGCCUCUGAUCAGGAUCCUCACCAUGGAGACAUGACCUUCGAUAAGGAAGAAGGUUUGGAUCUUAGGCUGCCAAAGCAAUGAAAAUGUCCACUGAACAGACUGGAAGGAUUCUGAACCAUUGCUCCAAAGAGCAUCCUUCCACAGAAUUUUUAGACUAUAAAUAAGAUAGAUUCCUGGCUGUCUGAAAUGCUUAGAUAACAGUUCCUCUGUGAAACAGAGAUGGAUUGAAAUACAAUACGUUCCUGCACUGCGAUCAUCUCCUGAAAUGCCAGAAAUACUUUCGUGUCAAUGUCUUAUCAUAAGAAGCCUGAGAGCUGGAAUCUAGAAUUACAAUUCUUUUUCUUUCCCCCAGGAUCUAGCUACAAAGAUUUGGUAAGGAGAUGCAUUUCCUCCCCCAAGUCGGCUGUCUCCAUUUGUAACUGAUACUACAUACAGCAGGGAAGCAUCUGUGUUUCAGAAAAAUGAUGUGUGGAAACAGUUUUCAAAAAUGCAUGCUUUCUACAUUAAAAAAAAAACA